RNAcentral lists this ribosomal RNA (120 nucleotides) under Thielaviopsis punctulata. The record is from RNAcentral. Lineage: Eukaryota; Fungi; Ascomycota; Sordariomycetes; Microascales; Ceratocystidaceae.
ACAUACGACCAUAGCUGGCAGAAAGCACGGGAUCCCGUCCGCUCUCCCUUAGUUAAACUGCCAAGCGCUGGAUCAGUAGUACGGUGGGUGACCACGUGCGAAUACCCGGUGUUGUAUGUC